Molecule: ribosomal RNA, 425 nt
Filed under: uncultured bacterium
Lineage: Bacteria
Description: partial 16S ribosomal RNA
Rfam family: Bacterial small subunit ribosomal RNA
Source: RNAcentral
GUGGGGAAUAUUGGGCAAUGGGCGAAAGCCUGACCCAGCAACGCCGCGUGAAGGAAGAAGGUCUUCGGAUCGUAAACUUCUAUCCUUGGUGAAGAUAAUGACGGUAGCCGAGAAGGAAGCCCCGGCUAACUACGUGCCAGCAGCCGCGGUAAUACGUAGGGGGCAAGCGUUGUCCGGAAUGAUUGGGCGUAAAGGGCGCGUAGGCGGCCUGGUAAGUCUGGAGUGAAAGUCCUGCUUUUAAGGUGGGAAUUGCUUUGGAUACUGUCGGGCUUGAGUGCAGGAGAGGUAAGCGGAAUUCCCGGUGUAGCGGUGAAAGGCGUAGAGAUCGGGAGGAACACCAGUGGCGAAGGCGGCUUACUGGACUGUAACUGACGCUGAGGCGCGAAAGUGUGGGGAGCAAACAGGAUUAGAAACCCUGGUAGUCC